Molecule: ribosomal RNA, 253 nt
Filed under: uncultured bacterium
Lineage: Bacteria
Description: partial 16S ribosomal RNA
Rfam family: Bacterial small subunit ribosomal RNA
Source: RNAcentral
UACGGGGGGGGCAAGCGUUGUUCGGAAUUACUGGGCGUAAAGGGCUCGUAGGCGGCCAACUAAGUCAGACGUGAAAUCCCUCGGCUUAACCGGGGAACUGCGUCUGAUACUGGAUGGCUUGAGUUUGGGAGAGGGAUGCGGAAUUCCAGGUGUAGCGGUGAAAUGCGUAGAUAUCCGGAGGAACACCGGUGGCGAAGGCGGCAUCCUGGACCAACACUGACGCUGAUGAGCGAAAGCCAGGGGAGCAAACGGG